Molecule: transfer RNA, 96 nt
Filed under: Eubacteriales bacterium
Lineage: Bacteria; Bacillati; Bacillota; Clostridia; Eubacteriales
Description: tRNA-Sec
Rfam family: Selenocysteine transfer RNA
Source: RNAcentral
GGGAGUAGAUGGGUUCUGGUGUGCCCUCUGGUCCUCAAAACCGGUAAUAGCGGCUAACCCCGUUUAGGUAAGUUCGAUUCUUACAUGCUCCCGCCA